AGACGUCUACAUUAGAUACCCCCGUAGUCCCAGCCGUAAACUAUGCGCGUUAGGUGUAUCGGUGACCACGAGUUACCGAGGUGCCGAAGGGAAACCGUGAAACGUGCCGCCUGGGAAGUACGGUCGCAAGGCUGAAACUUAAAGGAAUUGGCGGGGAGCACCACAACGGGUGGAGCCUGCGGUUUAAUUGGACUCAACGCCGGGAAGCUCACCGGAUAAGACAGCUGAAUGAUUGCCGGGCUGAAGACUCUGCAUGACUAGCUG
RNAcentral lists this ribosomal RNA (264 nucleotides) under uncultured archaeon. Its description in RNAcentral is "partial 16S ribosomal RNA". It matches the Rfam family "Archaeal small subunit ribosomal RNA", at positions 714 to 982 of the family's 1478-position model. The record is from RNAcentral.